GCCUCCGAGACACUUUGCCUGAGUUCCGCCGCCGUUCCAGGUUUACUCAGAUUUUUGAUGGCAGUAGUGCCUUAUACAGCCACCGGGACAUAAGCAGUGAGGCAUUGGUCUGGUGAUGAGAACCUCCACUGCUCUUGGACAGAAACCACUUCUCAUGACAUCAUCACUUUACAGUGGCCAGUAGUAGUUUUUCUUUACCAAUGACUUUACUGAGACUAAACAUCUGAGUGUGAAGAGAGGAGCUGACAGCUGUAACCUGACCAUCUCCAAGACAGAGUCAGGGGACUCAGCUACAUACUACUGUGGUGUUAUGGAAGAGGGCAAACUCAAAUUUGGAGAAGGAACUGUUUUAAUUGUCAAAGGUUCAGAGUCCAACAGCAUGUCUGUGCUCCAGCAGCCUGUGUCUGAGUCAGUUCAGCCAGGAGACUCUGUGACUCUGAACUGUACAAUACACACUGAGACCUGUGCAGGAGAACACAGUGUCUAUUGGUUCAGACAUGGCUCAGGAGAAUCCCAUCCAGGAAUCAUUUACACCCAUGGAGACAGGAGUGAUCAGUGUGAGAAGAGCCCUGAGGCUGGGUCUCCUACACAGAGUUGUGUCUACAACCUCCCCAAGAGGAACCUCAGCCUCUCUGAUGCUGGGACUUACUACUGUGCUGUGGCCUCAUGUGGGGAGAUCCUGUUGGGGAACGGGACCAAGCUGGAUGUUGAAGAUGAGAAUCCUGGUCCUCUCCAUCAUAAGAACUGGAGUUCUCCUCUGCUGUCUGACCAUAAUCUACCUCACCAGGAAAUAGAUAAAGCUAAGGACACUGUCAAUAGACUAGAGAUUGGUUUUGGAGUAAAGUCAGAGAUACUGUAUCAUCGCUAUGCAUUGCAAAUUAUGAUUAAUUGAGAUAGCUUAUUUGCUCGUAUUGCACUGCUCUCCUGAAAUCCCUGUAUACAGAAUGUGCCCUCUUUUUUCAUUAAUAAAUAACUUCAUUCUCUUG
Molecule: non-coding RNA, 986 nt
Organism: Oncorhynchus mykiss (rainbow trout)
Lineage: Eukaryota; Metazoa; Chordata; Actinopteri; Salmoniformes; Salmonidae
Source: the annotation of a RefSeq genome assembly